GUGAAACUUCGGCUUCACAUAUAAUAAUACUGGAUUGAUACAGAGAAGAUUAGCAUGGCCCCUGGCGCAAGGAUGACACGCACAAUCGUGAAGCAAUCCCGUUUUAA
This is a small nuclear RNA of Platichthys flesus (European flounder), 107 nucleotides long. The record is from RefSeq and is a predicted model, not a curated record. Lineage: Eukaryota; Metazoa; Chordata; Actinopteri; Pleuronectiformes; Pleuronectidae.